Long non-coding RNA from Quercus lobata, 833 nucleotides. RefSeq lists it as uncharacterized. Lineage: Eukaryota; Viridiplantae; Streptophyta; Magnoliopsida; Fagales; Fagaceae. The record is from RefSeq and is a predicted model, not a curated record. The transcript has 2 exons.
AAAUGAAUGAAAAAUCAAGAUAUUCCUUACUAUUAUCAAUAACCCUGCAAAUAUUGUUGCUGGUGCUAUAUAAUACAUGCUUUCCUUACAUUUGGGACAUACUUCUUUUUAUGUGAAAUUUCAUAAACAUCCCCAACCACAGAGAUGUAAUCAACUACUUCAAUAAGAGUGGCACACUAAAAAUCUGAGCAUUCGCUAACAUGGAAAAGCAUUUGAAUGUUUCUACGCAUUGAAAGUUGAACCACAAUGGAAGAAAGAACAUAUCAACUGCAGCAUAAUCAAGCCCAGAAACCAAGGUACCCUUGCUAUCUGCUACUGUUCUAGCCAAAGAUAUUGGGAGCAAAUCCUAAUGAUUUCAUAUCUCUAAUUUGAUUAAUGGCUUUAGAGUAAUGCUUCAUUCUUGCAAUGGCACCCAACAAUUGAUUAAAUUCCACAAUGGAAGGUAAAGUCCCAAGUGAAGCACUGUACUUAAAACCAUCUUUAGCAACUAUACCAGAUGGAUUUAUGUUAAAAACUGUAGGUUGUUCCAAUCAUAAUUAUUUAGGAAUCACAAAAACUAACUGCAGACAUUAUUAAAAAAAUCACAAAUAAAAUAGGAAGUGAGAUGCUUAAAACACAACAAACCCAAAUGGUCCCUCCAAUGAGGGGUUUUUCCAUCCUACAAAAAACAAUAUGAUACUCUCGAGCAUCUCAUCCUGCUAUCCUUAUCUAUUGGUGAUACUGCUAGUUGAAUAGUAUAGAUGAUACUCUCUGCUAUGGAAUUCUCUCUCAACUCCACACCCUCGGAUUAUUUUUCACCCACCAAACAAUCAAAUCCAACCAAACCAAAAAAA